GCGGGUGUGGUUUAGUGGUAAAAUGCUUCCUUCCCAAGGAAGAGAUUGUGGGUUCGAUUCCCAUCACCCGCU
Molecule: transfer RNA, 72 nt
Filed under: Candidatus Levybacteria bacterium RIFCSPHIGHO2_01_FULL_38_26
Lineage: Bacteria; Candidatus Levyibacteriota
Description: tRNA-Gly
Rfam family: tRNA
About the family: Transfer RNA (tRNA) molecules are approximately 80 nucleotides in length. Their secondary structure includes four short double-helical elements and three loops (D, anti-codon, and T loops). Further hydrogen bonds mediate the characteristic L-shaped molecular structure. tRNAs have two regions of fundamental functional importance: the anti-codon, which is responsible for specific mRNA codon recognition, and the 3' end, to which the tRNAs corresponding amino acid is attached (by aminoacyl-tRNA synthetases). tRNAs cope with the degeneracy of the genetic code in two manners: having more than one tRNA (with a specific anti-codon) for a particular amino acid; and 'wobble' base-pairing, i.e. permitting non-standard base-pairing at the 3rd anti-codon position.
Source: RNAcentral